Acanthochromis polyacanthus (spiny chromis) is the source of this 4436-nucleotide RNA transcript. It is a transcript of the gene named ArfGAP with coiled-coil, ankyrin repeat and PH domains 1, with no coding region annotated. Lineage: Eukaryota; Metazoa; Chordata; Actinopteri; Pomacentridae. The transcript is spliced from 23 exons. The record is from RefSeq and is a predicted model, not a curated record.
CGCGCGCAUGUGUGCGUGAAAGACAGAGAGUACUGUAGUCGGCACGCCGGGAAGUCCAUAACUAAUAUCUAAAACGCGGGCUGCCUUCUGAUUAACGCAUUUAGGGAUAUCGACCCGAAUCGCUCACUCGAGGAAACUUUGCGCCCCGCUCUCUGCAGCAUCUUCUCCAUCUGUCUCGCUUCUUUUUUUUUUAAUUUCCCGGAUAACAUGGUAACAACGCAGCUGCUACCAUCCCCUCCGUCCAUUCAUAAGUGGUGACAGGUCGUGUUCGGAAUCAGCUGUGAUCGGAGGACAGAAGAGGACGAUCUGAUCUGCAGGAAAACAAAACCAACCCAGAAGAAUGAGUCCGGCUGUGGAGCGUUAAGACCGAGAGGAGCUGCUUUUUCUUCCUGUCCAUUAUCUCUAGCUCUAAGUGGCGGUUCAGAUAAAUACAGAAAGGCUUUUGUGAUCUGCAGUUAAAAAGGCGAGGAUGACAGUCAAGCUGGACUUUGAGGAGUGUCUGAAAGACUCUCCACGUUUCAGAGCUGACAUCGAGGUAGUCCAAAGCGAUGUGAGUGAACUUGAGACACGGCUGGAAAAGCUCGUGAAGCAAUGCCAUGCCAUGCUGGAGGCAGGCAGAACCUACUGCCAGACCAGCAAGAGCUUUGUGAACGGCCUCCGGGAGCUGGGACACCACUGCUCUGAGGACAAAAUGAUGGAGGACUGCUUGGACAAAUUUUCCAAAAAGCUGUCUGUCAUCUUGGAGUUACAGGGGGAGGUCAUUGAGACCACACAGAACUCAGUCAAGACGAAGCUGCAGAACUUUGUGAAAGAAGAUGUUCGCCGGUUCAAGGAUGUGAGAAAAGAGUUUGAGCGCAGCAGUGAAGCCCUGGAGGGGGCGCUGGCCAGAAACGCUCAGGCUCCACGAGGAAAGCAGCACGAAGUGGAGGAGGCCAGUAACGCUCUGCUCAAUGCACGUAAAACCUUUCGGUCGGAGGCCUUGGACUAUGUUUUGCAGAUAAAUGUCAUUGAGGCCAAGAAGAAGACAGACAUUCUCAUGGCAAUGUUGUCGCUGAUGGAGGCCCAAGCCCAGCUCUUCCAACAAGGCCACCAGUCUCUGUCAGAACUCGAUCAAUAUCGUCAUAAACUGAAUGAAGAGAACACCCAGUUUGUUCUAAACGCUGCCAGGGAGAAGAGGGACAUGGAGCAAAGGCAUGCAGCAAUCAAGCAAAAGGACAUGUCCUAUGAUGACUCCAUUAUGGACUUCAAUGCGGACGCAGCUAAUGGGAUUGCAAUGGAGGGCUACCUCUAUAAGAGAGCCAGCAACGCCUUCAAGACCUGGAGCAGGCGCUGGUUUUCAAUUCAGAAGAAUCAGCUGGUGUAUCAAAAAAAAUUCAAGGACCAGCCUACAGUUGUGGUGGAAGACUUGCGUCUUUGCACAGUCAAGCCCAGCUCUGAAAACGAGAGACGGUUCUGCUUUGAAGUGGUCUCCCCGUCAAAGUGCUGCUUGUUGCAGGCGGACUCAGAGAGGCAGCAGCAAGCAUGGAUCAGCGCCGUCCAAAACAGCAUCGCUUCAGCCUUCCAGGAGCGCAGGGAAGACACACACAGCCCAAGACAGCGUUGCAGCUCGAUGUCAGCAAGCCAUUUGAUAGGGGGAGGAGGCGGGGGAGGCGGGGAUCAGGAAGACGAGGGCUACAAGGCGCUGGACGAGGUUCAGGCCAUUCCAGGGAACCGGCAGUGCUGCGACUGCGGAGAGCCCGGUCCUGAUUGGGCCUCCAUCAACCUCGGCAUCACACUGUGUAUCGUCUGCUCAGGAAUACACAGGAGCUUGGGAGUCCAUUUCUCCAAAGUACGCUCCCUCACUCUCGACUCCUGGGAGCCUGAGCUUGUUAAGUUGAUGUGUGAAUUAGGAAACACAGUAAUCAACAGGAUCUAUGAGGCUCGGAUCGAUGAGAUCACCAUCAAGAAGCCCCACCCGGCCAGUCCCAGAGGAGACAAGGAAUCCUGGAUCCGUUCAAAGUACGUUGAAAAGAAGUUUAUCCAAAAGUUGCCAGAGACUGGCAGGAACCCCCCACUGAGGCGGUCCAGCGCCAGGAGAAACCGAGCGACCACGCAGGAUCGGACCGUACAGAAACCGGCUUUAAAACCCAAACCGAACCGAGCCACUCUGCCGCGGCUCACAGGGCUGAGCCCCAGUGACAUCGUCCAAAAGAACAACACAAGCUUUCACAAAGAAGUUGAAGAGGAAGAGGAGGAUCUCAGCGGUCUCCAUCCCGGGGCGCUGCUGUACCGCUCGGCAGCCCUGCAGAACUUCCCCGUCAUGGCUGACGCUCUGGCCCACGGAGCUGACGUCAACUGGGUCAAUGUGGCUGAGGAGUCGAGCACACCGCUGAUACAGGCUGUCUCAGUGAAUGCUCUGGCGGCCUGUGAGUUCCUGCUGCAGAAUGGCGCCAAUGUCAACCAGGCAGAUAGCAACGGGAGAGGCCCGCUGCACCACGCCACCAUCUUGGGUCACACAGGGUUGGUUUGUCUCUUCUUGAAACGAGGAGCUGACUACAACGCCAGAGACAAGAACCAAAAAGACCCCAUAAGUAUCGCCGUGGACAACGCAAACGCAGACAUCGUCACUUUGUUGCGGAUUGCCAAAAUGAACAAGGAGAUGCGGGAGAUGGACGGAGCGUUUGGCCAAUCAGGUCAUUCAGGGGGGCAGGGAUCUGGAGGGUUAUUGGGCGGGACAGGAGGUGGGCUGGCCCACACCAGGAAGAGUCUCCAGGCUAUAAAGAACCACAUAAGCGGCUGGGCUCUAGGGGGGCAAAAUGAUUAACAGGGAUACAAUGAGGCAUGCAUCAUCAGCUUUUAGUUACAGAGGAGGAAAAAAGCGACAUUGUGAAUGAGUAAAAUCCAAAAGAACACAGGGUACGACGAGAAUAAAAGCAAGAACACAGAUGGAAACAGGUUUAUGAACACAGGACGAACAUUGAAACAUUCUACUUAGGAAUCUGCAUGCACUUUGAAUUACAAAUGCACAUCUUCCUGCACUUUGAAACCCACAAACUAUCUAAAUCCCCUGUCAGGAGACAGCGCUAUAUGUGGGUGUUUUCAAUGUCUCACUGUUGUAUAACUGAGCUUUAAGAACAUGUAUAUAUAAUAGACCUAUACCAGGCCUGUUCUCAGUAUAUUUUGGAUAUUUUUCUAUCCAGUAUGUACAUUGUGCUGACUCUUAGAUAGUCUUUAUGGUGUAUCUGGUUGUGUGUUGAGCUGUCCUUUCAUUCCAGUUAUGUAAGCUAAAUUCAGCGUUGGGUUUGGUUCUCAGUGACAAUUUUCUCACACUAUUCUGUGAAUAGUGACUCAGUUGAAGCUUUUACACUGUUAUGUUUAUAUUUAUUUUGCUGUCAGCUAGGCCCAAGAGCUCUGUGCUAUAGCCUGUGAGCUUACGGUUAACAGUGGGUUUUGUUUGUCACCUGGCUCUUUUUUAAGCUGCAAAGUCCAUUCCUUCAUGACUGAUCUAGAUCAAGGCUCUUGUUCCAUAGAGAGUGAGUUGAAUCCAGUCCUCAGUCGUGAAGGAAUGGAAACGUGAUGCGUUUGUCCGCUUGAAACGACUGCUGGUCAGUAUUUGACGUGCUGUGCUUUGUCAUUGUCUGUCUCUGUUGUGUGCACUCAUUGCCUUCUGCCCACUGAGACGUCCGGCUGGUCUCAACUGCUUGUGCAGUGUGCCACCUACAGCAAAAACUAAGAGGUGAUGAAACCUACCAGGACAUUUUUAGAGACUUUUCACACAUGGCCUCCAACAAUCCCGAGAAGCUCAAACGCCGCAGUGCAGACCCCAGAACUUAACCAGCUGCUGCCUCCUCCUCCUCCUCCUCACCCCACUGUACAAUGCCACAUUUCACACCUCAGCUUAACAUACUUUCACAUCACACAUGCAGAAAAGAUUCAGCCCACAGGCACACACACAAACACACACACGCUCUUCCUGGCUACCUGCCACAUGUUCAGUCACAGCUCAGCUGGUGUUGACUUCAGAGGGGACAAACGUUCCCAACAGUGAAUUCUUUGUGUGAACACGUCAGAGCAGAACAAUUGCGUCCAAGUGGAAACACUGCAACAGUUUUAUGAGACCAGCAUGAGGUGUCUUCAUGUCUAGCAGGGGUAACACCGACACUCUGCCAAGAUUUCCUAAUUAAAACCAGUAAAUCUGUUUUUUUUUCCUCUUUAUAACAAAAAAAGGGUUGUUUUAGUGUUUUUACUGACUUGUUACAUGAAAAUAAAGUGAAAACGUUUGUUGGACAUGUACAUAAAUGCUGCAAGAAGAAGUGAACUUUUAUUUCAACAGUCUUUCGACAAAUUGUAGCAGUUGCAGCUUUUUACAUUUUUAGACAAUUUUCAUGUCUAUUUUGUCUAAAUUAUGAGGUACUUCAAAUUUGUAUUAAGAUCAAAUAAAACACAAUACAAACUUA